Molecule: unclassified non-coding RNA, 797 nt
Filed under: Polistes canadensis
Lineage: Eukaryota; Metazoa; Arthropoda; Insecta; Hymenoptera; Vespidae
Description: uncharacterized LOC106790153, transcript variant X1
Source: RNAcentral
GAUGCCGUUCUCCAUACGACGUGUGUAUACGUACAUCAUGAAACAAUGAAAAGUGAUUAUUUUUAUUUCUGUUAAGUACAUCAUGAAAACAAUGGAAAGUGGUUAUUUUUAUUUCUUUGUUUCUUAAUAUAUUUAUAAAACAAUUCCUAUCGGGAAUAAAGUAUGUUAUUAAUUUCAUAAAAGGAAAACUUGCACGAUGUUGGUUAGCUGCAACAGUCAAUGAUAGAAUAUUCAAGCAAAUGUGUAAAUCGUCAACUGUGAAUAGAAUUAACCUCUGUGAACUAUGCAUGGAAAUAAUGAAUACGGUUCAAAUAGAAAGUAAUGAAACUAGUAGACGUUUUAGUUUAUAUUUAUCAUCGCAACUUAUGUAUGGAGCAGCAAAAAUUCUUUUAUAUCAGACCGCUAGUUUACAAACUCAAGUUUUUCAAAUAAAUAAAAAAGUAUUGUACCACAAAAGAACUGAAAUAGAUGAAAGAAAUACUGUCAUAAAAGAUUUGGGUUUAUGUAACAUAACUUCUGUAAUUCAAGAUUUUAAUGAUGUUCAGUUGGAUAACACUUCACCUGUUGUUCGUGAUGAAUUUAACAUAAACACUAAAAUAGAAGCGAUGAGAAAUAUUUGAGAGAAUACAUAUCACUGAUUCUAAUCUGGACAGAGAAUUAAGUGAUACAUCUACUGCAAAUAAAAUAAUUUUAUCAGAUUUAGAAGAACCUGAUGUAUCGAAGCAUGAAUUAGAAACAGAAAUGUUAUUUUCUGAUCGUGAUGACAUAAUCAUAGCAAACAAAGAACAUCAUGCAGC